CAUGAGAAGACCUGGUUAGGCCAGCAGACACAAGGGAAAGAACAAGGAAGCUGAACUCUAGUAAACAGCUGUCAAACUUAGUUAGUUGUCUGGGCUUUUCUGCUCUUGUAUGUAACGAUUUGUUGAAUUAAAUAAUGGCUAGAGUCCUUAUUAGGGACUGUUAGCUUAUAUGUGACAGACUGCAAAAAUUGGCCAUAAAUACUUUGCAGCUCUUCCCCAUCAAGGGGCAGAGUCUGCUUCUCCACCUCUUGAAUCUGGGCUUGGCUCUAUGACUUGCUUUUGGCCAAUGGGACAUGAGCAAGCAUGGCUUGAAAAAAGUUGUCGGGAACCUUUCCACCACUAUGUAAGCAAGCCUGGCUAUCUGCUGGAGAGACCACGUGGAGAGAGGCUCCAGAAACACAGGGAAUCCAAAGACCAUCAAUUGGCCUGGACCCAAGACUGACCGUGGAUCUUCCCAACUACCAUUUCAUCAUUUUGCUGAUGAUAUUGCACUCUUGGCUUGGAUCAGCUUAUUCAGCAGUGAAGCUCUAGUGCCAUUGUAAUGACUACUCCUGCUGCCUGGGAUGCCCUUGUUUUACUGGCAAACUCCUACAAGUUCUUUCAGACCACUCUGCUUUGACAUCUCCCUGAACGCCAGCCUCACACU
Balaenoptera musculus (blue whale) is the source of this 646-nucleotide long non-coding RNA. RefSeq lists it as uncharacterized. Lineage: Eukaryota; Metazoa; Chordata; Mammalia; Artiodactyla; Balaenopteridae. The record is from RefSeq and is a predicted model, not a curated record. The transcript has 3 exons.